Molecule: ribosomal RNA, 351 nt
Filed under: uncultured bacterium
Lineage: Bacteria
Description: bacterial SSU rRNA
Rfam family: Bacterial small subunit ribosomal RNA
Source: RNAcentral
AACGAACGCUGGCGGCAUGCCUAACACAUGCAAGUCGAACGCUCCGCAAGGGGGAGUGGCGAACGGGUGAGUAACGCGUGGGAACCUGCCCAGCAGUUGGGGAUAACCGCGGGAAACUGCGGCUAAUACCGAAUACGUCCUAAGGGAGAAAGAUUUAUCGCUGUUGGAGGGGCCCGCGUCGGAUUAGCUGGUUGGUGAGGUAACGGCUCACCAAGGCAUCGAUCCGUAGCUGGUCUGAGAGGAUGAUCAGCCACACUGGGACUUAGACACGGCCCAGACUCCUACGGGAGGCAGCAGUGGGGAAUAUUGGACAAUGGGGGCAACCCUGAUCCAGCAAUGCCGCGUGAGUGA